Long non-coding RNA from Stegostoma tigrinum, 1860 nucleotides. RefSeq lists it as uncharacterized. NCBI's taxonomy places the organism in Eukaryota, Metazoa, Chordata, Chondrichthyes, Orectolobiformes, Stegostomatidae. The transcript is spliced from 3 exons. The record is from RefSeq and is a predicted model, not a curated record.
GUCUUCAUGUGUCGGCUUAUGAGAAAUAAACGCUUCUGCACACUUUAAAUAAUUAAAAUUGCAGGGAAUGCUGGAAAGCUGAUAGUAAAUGAAGAUAGAAGGCUUAUCAGCAGACGUUUCAUCACUGUGCCAGGUGACAUCAUCAGUGGACCCUCCAAUGAAGCAAUGUUAUUCUACUCAACUUAGAAUUUAUACUGGUCCAUUAUGUUACCUGAACAACCAAGUGAUGGAAGAAUGGGCUAAUUUUAACCAAGCCUGCUCAGAGGCUGAUGAAGACAAGGACAAGCUUGUUUAACAGAGAUAGUGGGAAGUGCAGAAGCUGGAGAAUCCGAGAUAACAAAGUGUUGAGCUGGAUGAACACAGCAGGCCAAGCAGCAUCUUAGGAGCACAAGCUUUUAAUUUAAUAUCUCAUACAAAAGAUGAUUGUACUGAUAAUGAGCAUUCCGUCAGUACUGCAUUGAAUUUCAGUCUAAAUGAUAUGCAGAAAUCUUGGAGUUUGUCUUUAAUCCACAAGUCGGCAACGAUAAGGGAAGAUCCUGCCAACUGAUACAGUAUAUUAUGUUCCUGGCAACGAGUUCACAUAGUUAGCACCAAAUCUGUUGUCACAAGUUAGAAACCAAUGACAGUACAGGGUAAUUAGACACAAGAUUUACAACUGACUAAUGACUUCAAUUCCCAUUGGUAAUUCUGUGAUUUGUCAUCUUGCAGCUUACUUAUCUGUGUGUUUCCUCCACAGAGACCACUAAUUGAUCAGGGCUUUCCAACCAUGUUUCUGGUGUGAGAUGCUAAAGCUGUCACCCAACAGCCCUAAGUAACACACAUUGAAGGACAGCAAGUAUUUAUAUCCCCUCAAUGCAUUGUCACUAUGGUUGGAGGUGCUUUCCAAUUGUACCCCCAUUCCAACAACAAUUUGACUUAGGCUGUAAAAGACUCAAAUUUAUUUGGCACCUUUCACAAACUCAGGACAUUUCCAAUAUGCAUUACAGCUAAUUCAGUACUACAGAAGUGUGCUAACUGUUAUUAUGUAGGAUAAUGCAAUGGUCAGUUUCAGCACAGCAAGCUCCCAUAAGCAGCAAUGCAAUAAAUGAGUUAAUCUGUUUUCGGAUGUGGAUUAUGUGAUGAAUGUGUCAUGACAAAUCCCCUGCUUGCUUCUGAAUCGUUCCAUUGAAUGUAUUACAUCCAUUUUAGAGAACAAUGUAAAUAGGCAAUAGGUGAAAGAUUGUAGACUUGAAAUAUUAUCUCUGUUUGUUUGUCCAGAGAUGUUGUCUAUCUGAGUGUUCCCCAUUUAAAUUUCAGCUUUCCAACAUCUGCAGUGUUUUACUGUUUUGUCAGCUUUGAGCAUCUGCUCUGAUACCACCAGAUGUGACUUGGAUAUUCAAUUAUGCAUCAAGAUACAUUAGCACUUGUUUUUUUGUUAAAGGUGCAAGUUGGUACAGCCCAGGAAUUUUAACCAAGAGUAGAGUAUGGCCUGAAAUCCUGGAUUGAGCCUUUAACCAGGGCUUUCUGUCUCAGAGAUGAGAGUGCUACGAGUCAGCCAAUACUGACACACUGGUUUGCCAAAAACAAAUCAAAUCAUUCAGUUAUCCCUUUUAAAAUUUAAUGACAUUUUCGAUUUGUCAACCUCUCCCUCCUCCACCAAACACAUUCACCCCUUCAGACUCUCUCUAUUCUUGAGACACCAAUGCUAAUUGAGACACAGUUCUGUGCUCACUGCAAGGGUCCGUGUGUUCAGCAGAUAUUCUGCUGUCACUUUUAUACCUAGAACAGGUCUUUUUACCUAUGUGUACCUAAAGCAUAUGUGACCCUGUGGUGAAUGAGCUUGAACACAGCUGAGUCUAUCUCUGGCUGAUGCCAGAGAAG